CCCACCCUGCCUAAAACCCAGUAUAGAGCCCAGCCCACCCUGUCUAAAACCCAGUCGAUGUGUGACCUUAAGCGUUUGACCUCUGUAGGCUCAGGGACAAACAGCCCAGUCCAACCCAGCACAGCCAAGUCGUGGCCAAAUCCCAGCCUCAAUAGAAACACUUAGUCUCCAGGAAAUGAAUAUAGGAUGUUAUGCACAGACUGUGAAGGACAACCAACCCUGUCCAACAUAGACAACCCAGCACAACACAAAAAAGACCCAGUUUAGCCUGAACUACAUUAAGAUAUGGUGCCAUAUGCUCAGAUUAAAAGAUCACUAGGUAGACUAGUGGUUAGAGUGGAGGGGCGGCAGGUAGACUAGUGGUUAGAGUGGAGGGACGGCAGGUAGACUAGUGGUUAGAGUGGAGGGGCGGCAGGUAGACUAGUGGUUAGAGUGGAGGGACGGCAGGUAGACUAGUGGUUAGAGUGGAGGGACGGCAGGUAGACUAGUGGUUAGAGUGGAGGGACGGCAGGUAGACUAGUGGUUAGAGUGGAGGGACGGCAGGUAGCCUAGUGGUUAGAGUGGA
Long non-coding RNA from Oncorhynchus keta (chum salmon), 565 nucleotides. RefSeq lists it as uncharacterized. The transcript is spliced from 3 exons. Lineage: Eukaryota; Metazoa; Chordata; Actinopteri; Salmoniformes; Salmonidae. The record is from RefSeq and is a predicted model, not a curated record.